This 254-nucleotide ribosomal RNA is filed under the name uncultured bacterium. Its description in RNAcentral is "partial 16S ribosomal RNA". It matches the Rfam family "Bacterial small subunit ribosomal RNA", at positions 524 to 776 of the family's 1533-position model. The record is from RNAcentral.
UACGUAGGGGGCAAGCGUUGUUCGGAAUUACUGGGCGUAAAGAGCUCGUAGGCGGUUCCGUAAGUCAGAUGUGAAAACUCAGGGCUCAACCCGGAGACGCCAUCUGAUACUGCGGUGACUGGAGUCUGGUAGGGGAACACGGAAUUCCUGGUGUAGCGGUGAAAUGCGCAGAUAUCAGGAGGAACACCGAUGGCGAAGGCAGUGUUCUGGGCCAGUACUGACGCUGAGGAGCGAAAGCGUGGGGAGCAAACAGG